This 482-nucleotide ribosomal RNA is filed under the name Porphyromonas sp. oral taxon 277. RNAcentral describes it as "bacterial SSU rRNA". It matches the Rfam family "Bacterial small subunit ribosomal RNA", at positions 28 to 499 of the family's 1533-position model. Lineage: Bacteria; Pseudomonadati; Bacteroidota; Bacteroidia; Bacteroidales; Porphyromonadaceae. The record is from RNAcentral.
GAUGAACGCUAGCGAUAGGCUUUAACACAUGCAAGUCGAGGGCAGCAUGGUCUUAGCUUGCUAAGACUGAUGGCGACCGGCGCACGGGUGCGUAACGCGUAUGCAACUUGCCUCACAGAGGGGGAUAACCCGUCGAAAGACGGACUAAUACCGCGUACACUUGGGAUAGGGCAUCCUAAUCCAAGGAAAAGAAAUUCGCUGUGAGAUAGGCAUGCGUCCCAUUAGCUAGUUGGUGAGGUAACGGCUCACCAAGGCAACGAUGGGUAGGGGAACUGAGAGGUUGAACCCCCACACUGGUACUGAGACACGGACCAGACUCCUACGGGAGGCAGCAGUGAGGAAUAUUGGUCAAUGGGCGAGAGCCUGAACCAGCCAAGUCGCGUGAAGGAUGACUGUCUUAUGGAUUGUAAACUUCUUUUGUAGGGGAAUAAAGAGGGGCACGUGUGCCUCAGUGAAUGUACCCUACGAAUAAGCAUCGGUAA